This 72-nucleotide transfer RNA is filed under the name Fukomys damarensis (Damara mole-rat). It matches the Rfam family "tRNA". Rfam says of the family: Transfer RNA (tRNA) molecules are approximately 80 nucleotides in length. Their secondary structure includes four short double-helical elements and three loops (D, anti-codon, and T loops). Lineage: Eukaryota; Metazoa; Chordata; Mammalia; Rodentia; Bathyergidae. The record is from Rfam by way of RNAcentral.
AGGGGUGUAGCUUGGUGGCACAGCACCUGCCUGGCAAACAUGAGGGCCUGAGUUUGAUUCCUGGCACCCCCC